Molecule: non-coding RNA, 1850 nt
Organism: Rattus norvegicus (Norway rat)
Lineage: Eukaryota; Metazoa; Chordata; Mammalia; Rodentia; Muridae
Source: RefSeq, a predicted model, not a curated record
AGGAAUAAAAUCUGGUGCGUAUAAAUAAAUAAAUACAUUUAAAAAAAAUGAUUUCUGGGGAGCAAUGCUGUGUUAGCCACGUUGUGGUAAAAGGUUGUGUUUGUGUGACAGGAAGAUCAUUUCCAAUUCCAAUGGUUUGAGGGAAAGAGAGGUAUGGAAAAAGUCAGCCAUCCAACAAGGAAACUGCUGAGGUUAGGACAAGGGAGGUUUCCACUCUCCUUUUUCUACUCCAUCCAGGGGCCCAGAGGUGAAACAAGGCUGUGUGCAAGUAUAUUCCUCUUUAGGAGAACCCAGAUAGGCUAACGGUGACCAAGGAACACGUCACCCCUGCAGCAAAGCUGAGGUUACCUGUAUAGCAUCAAAGCUGCAGUCACCAACAAAAUCAGCAGGACGCUGAGGAGUCCACCAACGGCGUAGCUGACAUGCAGUCCUUCACCUACAAGGGAGAAACGCCAGGGACUGAGCAGACACCAGAGGGAGUGCAAAGCUGGUGCGCUUGCCGUGCGCAGAAGGUAGCUCUGGCAUAUUAUGGCAGGCAACUGGAGGCACCUCCCAACGGUCUGGGGAAAGCCAUGUAGACAGCAGAAGUGCAUCUGAAACCAAGAUACCAUGACGUGUAACUAGAACUCCACUGAGGAACGUGGGCAUGGGGAAAAGCUGUUAUCCCAGCACUUGAAGGACCCUGGGUGAGGACACUCUAAGCUUCAUAAUGUCCAUAUUUGAAAAAAAAAAAUUCCAGGUGGAAUGAGAGACGGGACAGGAUCGAUGUUUAUGUAUCAGAGAAUGAGUAAAACAUGAGGGAAAUGCUAGUUAUGAUUGUUACUUUUGUUUCUUCAGCUAUAGGACAGAAGUACAUGAAAAUGUCCUGCUAACCAGGAAAAAAGAAUAGAGAAGGCCUCUUUCUUUUAGCACCUAUGUUCUGCUUAGUAAUGUGUCAUUUUCUUAAAAAUUAUAUUCCAGCUAACAUUCUAAAUAGUCAAAACAUGUAUUACAGGCUAUAAAGAACUAGCAGGGGGCUUAUUUCUAUGAGGAUUAAAAAAACAAAACAAAACAAAACAAAACAGACAGCCCAAGGAGAUGAUUCACUGGGUUCUUGCCAGGAAAACAUGAGGAUCUGGGUUCAGAGCCCCAGCACCCAUGUGAAAAGCUGGUCGCAGCAGCAAACACCUGCAAUCCCCGUGCUGGAGAGGUGGAGCCAGGAGGAGUCAUCGAGCUGGCUGGCUAGUCAGCCUAGACAAUCCGUGAGCUCUAAGGUUAGGGAGAGGCCAUGUGUCAAAAAAAAACCCCAAAAACCACGGGAAGCAACUGAGGAAGACACUGCACAUUGAGCUCUGGCCUCCACGUGUACAUAGGAAUGUGUAUACACACACCUAGGAAAAAAUGUCUGAGGAGAUUUCAGAUGUUUCCCAAAUAAAACCAGGGACUAGGAGCACAGCUCAGCAGGACGGCUUGCCUAGCGUAUGUGGAGUUCACAUUUUGGCUUUGUGAACACAACAAAGGUUCUAAAGGAAAUUUAAGAAUAAAGAUGAUGGGGGUUGGGGAUUUAGCUCAGUGGUAGAGUGCUUGCCUAUCAAGCACAAGGCCCUGGGUUCGGUCCCCAGCUCUGAAAAAAAGAAAAAAGAAAAAAAAAGAUUAAAGAUGAUGGCUAACAUUUCAAAGUUAGUCAGAAAGGCACGUGUUCACACCUGGAUGUUUGUUUUCUUUACAGACUACACAGAAUGCAGAGCCCAGAGCCCAGAGCCUAGAGCACUGUCUGGGAAUCACUGUUUCUGAUGUCAGCUCAAUGACCUUUUAAACUAUAGUUGCCAGAGCAUCAAAUUUAAUGAAAUAUAUUUUGUGCUUGCUUUGAA